This 253-nucleotide ribosomal RNA is filed under the name uncultured bacterium. RNAcentral's name for it is "partial 16S ribosomal RNA". It matches the Rfam family "Bacterial small subunit ribosomal RNA", at positions 524 to 776 of the family's 1533-position model. The record is from RNAcentral.
UACAGAGGGUGCUAGCGUUGUUCGGAAUUAUUGGGCGUAAAGGGCGCGUAGGCGGCCCUGUGUGUCGGGUGUGAAAGCCCACCUCUUAAAGGUGGAAUUGCAUUCGAAACUACAGGGCUGGAGUGUCGGAGAGGAUGGCGGAAUUCCUGGUGUAGAGGUGAAAUUUGUAGAUAUCAGGAGGAACACCGGUGGCGAAGGCGGCCAUCUGGACGACAACUGACGCUGAGGCGCGAAAGCGUGGGGAUCAAACAGG